Non-coding RNA from Tinamus guttatus (white-throated tinamou), 503 nucleotides. The record is from RefSeq and is a predicted model, not a curated record. NCBI's taxonomy places the organism in Eukaryota, Metazoa, Chordata, Aves, Tinamiformes, Tinamidae.
AUUCUACUGAAUUACAGCAUCAGCUAGAUAAAGCGAAACAGCAGCACCAGGAACAGCAGACACAUCAGCAAAACACUACAGCAAAGCUACGAGAAGCCCAGAAUGAUUUGGAGCAAGUACUACGACAAAUCGGAGAUAAGGACCAAAAAAUACAAAAUCUUGAGGCCUUGCUUCAAAAGAGCAAGGAAAACAUCUCCUUACUAGAAAAGGAAAGAGAGGACUUAUAUGCAAAAAUUCAAGCUGGUGAAGGAGAAACUGCAGUUCUUAACCAGCUACAGGAGAAAAAUCAUGCAUUACAAAUACAGGUAACUCAGCUGACAGAGAAGUUGAAGAAUCAGUCAGAAAGUCACAAACAAGCCCAGGAGAAUUUGCAUGAGCAAGUGCAGGAGCAAAAGGCACAGCUAAGAGCUGCUCAAGAUCGAGUGCUCUCACUGGAAUCAAACAUUACUGAACUAAAUAGCCAGCUAAAUGAAAGCAAAGAGAAAGUAUCACAACUUGAUAUA